This is a long non-coding RNA of Rhinichthys klamathensis goyatoka, 250 nucleotides long. RefSeq lists it as uncharacterized. The record is from RefSeq and is a predicted model, not a curated record. NCBI's taxonomy places the organism in Eukaryota, Metazoa, Chordata, Actinopteri, Cypriniformes, Leuciscidae. The transcript is spliced from 3 exons.
ACAGUUACAGAAGUGGUGUUUGUAGAAGAUCCACCGCAGAGCUUUUAUUCUUGCCAGCGAUCACUCUGGGAAGGUACUCUGAUCUGACACCCACAGGCUGCUGUUCUGCCGAUGCUCUUUUGCAUCAGACAUAAUGAGAUGGAGGUGCAGGAGUAACGCUGGAAACUCAAGCUGUUUGACGGCCUCCAGAUCACCUUCAGUGCCUGGAGUGGGACUGAAUUUCAUCUCAGUCAAGGCGAAGAAAAGUGGC